RNAcentral lists this ribosomal RNA (484 nucleotides) under uncultured bacterium. RNAcentral describes it as "partial 16S ribosomal RNA". It matches the Rfam family "Bacterial small subunit ribosomal RNA", at positions 30 to 507 of the family's 1533-position model. The record is from RNAcentral.
AUUGAACGCUGGCGGCAGGCCUAACACAUGCAAGUCGAGCGGAUGAAGGGAGCUUUCUCCUGGAUUCAGCUGCGGACGGGUGAGUAAUGCCUAGGAAUCUGCCUGGUAGUGGGGGAUAACGUCCGUAAACGGGCGCUAAUACCGCAUACGUCCUGAGGGAGAAAGUGAUGGAUCUUCGGACCUCACGCUAUCAGAUGAGCCUAGGUCGGAUUAGCUAGUUGGUUGGGUAAAGGCCUACCAAGGCGACGAUCCGUAACUGGUCUGAGAGGAUGAUCAGUCACACUGGAACUGAGACACGGUCCAGACUCCUACGGGAGGCAGCAGUGGGGAAUAUUCGGCAAUGGGCGAAAGCCUGAUCCAGCAAUGCCGCGUGUGUGAAGAAGGUCUUCGGAUUGUAAAGCACUUUAAGUUGGGAGGAAGGGCAGUAAGUUAAUACCUUGCUGUUUUGACGUUACCAACAGAAUAAGCACCGGCUAACUUCGUG